RNAcentral lists this long non-coding RNA (362 nucleotides) under Mus caroli (Ryukyu mouse). RNAcentral describes it as "lncRNA (MGP_CAROLIEiJ_G0006442.1)". Lineage: Eukaryota; Metazoa; Chordata; Mammalia; Rodentia; Muridae. The record is from RNAcentral.
GACCUGUCUCUGAGACUAGCUUCCUCCUUACAGGGAUGUGGUUUUCCUUAUGGACUGCUCAUUCUGAUCAGAUGUGUCCUCUGAAAGGCAGAGACAGGGGAAGGUGCGUCCUCGUCGAGCUCCCGCCUGUACCUUCCUAGUACCUCUGGCCAGCAGCCUGUGUGCCCGUGCUCCCUGGACAUCCGUGAAUGUUUGAUGCUACAUCUCUACCCAAACUGAAGCUUCCCGCCUGCAUUCUGUCAACGGCACUUGCGGGCGGGCCGGGGGGGGGGGGGAAGACAACUUUUGGAACAGAAACUCCACCCAUCCUCCUACUCCCUACUACCUGCAAUCAAACCAGCUAAAACACCCCACCUCACACU